RNAcentral lists this ribosomal RNA (635 nucleotides) under uncultured marine eukaryote. RNAcentral describes it as "SSU rRNA". It matches the Rfam family "Eukaryotic small subunit ribosomal RNA", at positions 613 to 1248 of the family's 1831-position model. The record is from RNAcentral.
UUGCGGUUAAAAAGCUCGUAGUUGGAUCUCGGCGGGUAGAAGGCGGUACACUGCUAAGUGUUACUGCCUUAUUACCCGUAGUUUUUGCUAGAGGUUUCAGGGUGCUCUUAAUCGAGUGUCCUGGGAUGCUAGCAGGUUUACUUUGAAAAAAUUAGAGUGCUCAAAGCAGGCUACUACGCUUGAAUAUUCGUGCAUGGAAUAAUAGAAUAGGAAGUCGUUUCUAUUUUGUUGGUUUUCGGAAAUCGACUUAAUGAUUAAUAGAGACAGUCGGGGACAUUUGUAUUCAAACGACAGAGGUGAAAUUCUUGGACCGUUUGAAGACAAACUACUGCGAAAGCAUUUGCCAAGAAUGUUUUCAUUAAUCAAGAACGAAAGUUAGAGGUUCGAAGGCGAUUAGAUACCGCCCUAGUUCUAACCAUAAACGAUGCCAGCUAGCGAUCUGCGGACGUUUUUUUAGUAGACUCCGCAGGAAGCUUCCGGGAAACCAAAGCGUGUGGGUUCCGGGGGAAGUAUGGUUGCAAAGCUGAAACUUAAAGGAAUUGACGGAAGGGCACCACCAGGAGUGGAGCCUGCGGCUUAAUUUGACUCCACACGGGAAAUCUCACCAGGCCCGGACACUGGAAGGAUUGACAGAU